GGAACACACACAGAAGCCAAGGGAGUAAAUCCACAGACCACCCCCUCUCCAGAGUACAGUGUACACAGCUUAUGUGUCAGAGGUUGAGUCAAUGGAUCCAGUGGGCUGGCUAGCUGGGGCGGACUUCCUGGAGGAGGAAUGUUGGUGUAUGUCACCAUAUCCAGACUUUACCUGAGCCUGCAGAGGAGUGACUGAGUGCAGGCUCCAAGAGCACUCCUUUGUUCUGCUUAAGCUUGUGCGUCAUAUGGCUCCUGGCCAGCCUCCCCGCUAGAUCUCUACCAGGUGGAAAGAGAGCAAGGGCCUUUACCUAUGGCACAGAAGGCCAUGUGAAGGUCAUCAUCCCGUGUUGGUGGCAGACUGAGACCUCUAGUUAUAGGGGGGCAGACACCCACUAUUGAAGUUGCUCUUAUUCCCUCUCAUCUGUGUGACUAAAGCGUGAUUCCAUCUG
RNAcentral lists this long non-coding RNA (448 nucleotides) under Mus caroli (Ryukyu mouse). Its description in RNAcentral is "lncRNA (MGP_CAROLIEiJ_G0006774.1)". Lineage: Eukaryota; Metazoa; Chordata; Mammalia; Rodentia; Muridae. The record is from RNAcentral.